RNAcentral lists this ribosomal RNA (484 nucleotides) under uncultured bacterium. RNAcentral's name for it is "partial 16S ribosomal RNA". It matches the Rfam family "Bacterial small subunit ribosomal RNA", at positions 30 to 507 of the family's 1533-position model. The record is from RNAcentral.
AUUGAACGCUGGCGGCAGGCCUAACACAUGCAAGUCGAGCGGAUGAAGGGAGCUUGCUCCUGGAUUCAGCGGCGGACGGGUGAGUAAUGCCUAGGAAUCUGCCUGGUAGUGGGGGAUAACGUCCGGAAACGGGCGCUAAUACCGCAUACGUCCUGAGGGAGAAAGGGGGGGAUCUUCGGACCUCACGCUAUCAGAUGAGCCUAGGUCGGAUUAGCUAGUUGGUGGGGUAAAGGCCUACCAAGGCGACGAUCCGUAACUGGUCUGAGAGGAUGAUCAGUCACACUGGAACUGAGACACGGUCCAGACUCCUACGGGAGGCAGCAGUGGGGAAUAUUGGACAAUGGGCGAAAGCCUGAUCCAGCCGUGCCGCGUGUGUGAAGAAGGUCUUCGGAUUGUAAAGCACUUUAAGUUGGGAGGAAGGGCAGUAAGUUAAUACCUUGCUGUUUUGACGUUACCAACAGAAUAAGCACCGGCUAACUUCGUG